This 313-nucleotide long non-coding RNA is filed under the name Panax ginseng (ginseng). RNAcentral describes it as "long non-coding RNA (PGIN_LNC000806)". Lineage: Eukaryota; Viridiplantae; Streptophyta; Magnoliopsida; Apiales; Araliaceae. The record is from RNAcentral.
AAAAAAUAACUCGAAAACAAUAAAAUGUAAUUUUAAAGGCCUAAACGAUAGAAUUUGACCAAAAAACACUGCAGUUCACGAGCAAAGCGCUUGUGACUUUUGACCGUUGACCUGUUUCCAAUGAAAUUAGGCUCCGAAAACGAAAAAAAAAAACGACACUCCAAACUUGACAGAAAUUACCAAAUUGCCACUGGAUCAAAUCUUUCCAUAAACUAGAUCGAAUCUAUCAAAUCCUUCCAUAAACUGACACGCUUGCUCUUCAACCGCAUCAGUGACCCCCCUGAGAAAUCCUCGUGUUGCAACUCCUUUUUUU